GAUGAACGCUGGCGGCGUGCUUAACACAUGCAAGUCGAACGGAAAGGCCCAAGCUUGCUUGGGUACUCGAGUGGCGAACGGGUGAGUAACACGUGGGUGAUCUGCCCUGCACUUCGGGAUAAGCCUGGGAAACUGGGUCUAAUACUGGAUAGGACCACUUCUUGGAUGUUGUGGUGGAAAGUUUUUUCGGUGUGGGGUGAGCUCGCGGCCUAUCAGCUUGUUGGUGGGGUAAUGGCCUACCAAGGCGUCGACGGGUAGCCGGCCUGAGAGGGUGUACGGCCACAUUGGGACUGAGAUACGGCCCAGACUCCUACGGGAGGCAGCAGUGGGGAAUAUUGCACAAUGGGCGCAAGCCUGAUGCAGCGACGCCGCGUGGGGGAUGACGGCCUUCGGGUUGUAAACUCCUUUCGCUAGGGACGAAGCGUUUUGUGACGGUACCUGGAGAAGAAGCACCGGCUAACUACGUG
RNAcentral lists this ribosomal RNA (467 nucleotides) under uncultured bacterium. RNAcentral's name for it is "partial 16S ribosomal RNA". It matches the Rfam family "Bacterial small subunit ribosomal RNA", at positions 28 to 507 of the family's 1533-position model. The record is from RNAcentral.